Molecule: ribosomal RNA, 548 nt
Filed under: uncultured Glomeromycotina
Lineage: Eukaryota; Fungi; Glomeromycota
Description: SSU rRNA
Rfam family: Eukaryotic small subunit ribosomal RNA
Source: RNAcentral
UUGGAGGGCAAGUCUGGUGCCGGCAGCCGCGGUAAUUCCAGCUCCAAUAGCGUAUAUUAAAGUUGUUGCAGUUAAAAAGCUCGUAGUUGAAUUUCGGGAUUAAUUUAUUGGUCGUGCUAUUGUACGUACUGGUAUUAUUGAUUCCUACCUUCUGACGAACCACGAUGUCAUUAAUUUGGUGUCAUGGGGAAUCAGGACUGUUACUUUGAAAAAAUUAGAGUGUUUAAAGCAGGCUCACGCUUGAAUACAUUAGCAUGGAAUAACGAAAUAGGACGUUUGAUUCUAUUUUGUUGGUUUCUAGGAUCGACGUAAUGAUUAAUAGGGAUAGUUGGGGGCAUUAGUAUUCAAUUGUCAGAGGUGAAAUUCUUGGAUUUAUUGAAGACUAACUACUGCGAAAGCAUUUGCCAAGGAUGCUUUCAUUAAUCAAGAACGAAAGUUAGGGGAUCGAAGACGAUCAGAUACCGUCGUAGUCUUAACCAUAAACUAUGCCGACUAGGGAUCGGAUGAUGUUAAUUUUUUAAUGACUCAUUCGGCGCCUUACGGGAAAC